ACCCGCUGAACUUAAGCAUAUCAAUAAGCGGAGGAAAAGAAACCAACAGGGAUUGCCUCAGUAACGGCGAGUGAAGCGGCAACAGCUCAAAUUUGAAAUCUGGCCCCAGGCCCGAGUUGUAAUUUGCAGAGGAUGCUUUUGGCGCGGUGCCUUCCGAGUUCCCUGGAACGGGACGCCAUAGAGGGUGAGAGCCCCGUACGGUUGGACACCAAGCCUUUGUAAAGCACCUUCGACGAGUCGAGUAGUUUGGGAAUGCUGCUCUAAAUGGGAGGUAUAUUUCUUCUAAAGCUAAAUAUAGGCCAGAGACCGAUAGCGCACAAGUAGAGUGAUCGAAAGAUGAAAAGCACUUUGAAAAGAGGGUUAAACAGCACGUGAAAUUGUUAAAAGGGAAGCGCUUGUGACCAGACUUGCGUCCGGUGAAUCACCCAGCUCUCGCGGCUGGGGCACUUUGCCGGCACAGGCCAGCAUCAGCUCGCUGUCGGGGACAAAAGCUUCGGGAACGUAGCUCUCUUCGGGGAGUGUUAUAGCCCGUUGCAUAAUACCCUUCGGUGGGCUGAGGUACGCGCUCCGCAAGGAUGCUGGCGUAAUGGUCAUCAGCGACCCGUCUUGAAACACGG
RNAcentral lists this ribosomal RNA (617 nucleotides) under uncultured fungus. Its description in RNAcentral is "eukaryotic LSU rRNA". It matches the Rfam family "Eukaryotic large subunit ribosomal RNA", at positions 23 to 664 of the family's 3401-position model. Lineage: Eukaryota; Fungi. The record is from RNAcentral.